UACGUAGGGUGCAAGCGUUAAUCGGAAUUACUGGGCGUAAAGCGUGCGCAGGCGGUUGUGCAAGACCGAUGUGAAAUCCCCGGGCUUAACCUGGGAAUGGCAUUGGUGACUGCACGGCUAGAGUGUGUCAGAGGGGGGUAGAAUUCCACGUGUGAGCAGUGAAAUGCGUAGAGAUGUGGAGGAAUACCGAUGGCGAAGGCAGCCCCCUGGGAUAACACUGACGCCUCAUGCACGAAAGCGUGGGGAGCAAACAGG
RNAcentral lists this ribosomal RNA (255 nucleotides) under uncultured bacterium. RNAcentral's name for it is "partial 16S ribosomal RNA". It matches the Rfam family "Bacterial small subunit ribosomal RNA", at positions 524 to 776 of the family's 1533-position model. The record is from RNAcentral.